This 450-nucleotide ribosomal RNA is filed under the name uncultured bacterium. RNAcentral's name for it is "bacterial SSU rRNA". It matches the Rfam family "Bacterial small subunit ribosomal RNA", at positions 354 to 796 of the family's 1533-position model. The record is from RNAcentral.
GUGGGGAAUUUUGGACAAUGGGCGAAAGCCUGAUCCAGCCAUUCCGCGUGAGUGAAGAAGGCCUUCGGGUUGUAAAGCUCUUUCGCAAGGGAAGAAAACUUAGUUACUAAUAUUAACUGAGGUUGACGGUACCUUGAUAAGAAGCACCGGCUAACUACGUGCCAGCAGCCGCGGUAAUACGUAGGGUGCGAGCGUUAAUCGGAAUUACUGGGCGUAAAGCGUGCGCAGGCGGUUUUGUAAGUCAGAUGUGAAAUCCCCGAGCUCAACUUGGGAACUGCGUUUGAAACUACAAGACUAGAAUAUGUCAGAGGGGGGUAGAAUUCCACGUGUAGCAGUGAAAUGCGUAGAGAUGUGGAGGAAUACCAAUGGCGAAGGCAGCCCCCUGGGAUAAUAUUGACGCUCAUGCACGAAAGCGUGGGGAGCAAACAGGAUUAGAAACCCCUGUAGUCC